This 69-nucleotide transfer RNA is filed under the name Cysteochila lineata. RNAcentral describes it as "tRNA-Ser". It matches the Rfam family "tRNA". Rfam says of the family: Transfer RNA (tRNA) molecules are approximately 80 nucleotides in length. The record is from RNAcentral. Lineage: Eukaryota; Metazoa; Arthropoda; Insecta; Hemiptera; Tingidae.
AGUUAAUUAACUUAAUUAAAGUUUGUAUUUUGAAAAUACAAUAUGUGAGUUCGAAUCUUAUAUUAACUU